RNAcentral lists this long non-coding RNA (4001 nucleotides) under Sus scrofa (pig). RNAcentral describes it as "lncRNA (ENSSSCG00000056173.1)". Lineage: Eukaryota; Metazoa; Chordata; Mammalia; Artiodactyla; Suidae. The record is from RNAcentral.
UGAACCUGCAACCUCAUGGUUCCUAGUCAGAUUCGUUUCCACUGUGCCACAAAGGGAACUCCCUUUCCUUUUCUUUUUCUUCCUUUCUUUCUUUCCUUCCCACCUCUACAGAGGUGGCUUUCUACUGUUAAAGCAAAUUAGUGAGACCUAUGGCCCUAAUAAAAGGCAGCAUAUUCAGCCCAAGGUCACAGGGGAAGAGAGAGUGUUGGUGACUGGGGUGUUCCUCCCAGACAGGAAGAAGCAGGAACUCCUCCUGAGUUACAGGGCAGGGAAGGGGGAUCAGAGGACUGGUUCAAGGGUUAGGAUCCCUUAGCCACCCAGAACCUCAGGAAUUUCACCCCAGACUGAGGAUGGCAGGAGCCAGCGAGAAGGAAUGGGGCCCGUCUGCCAAAACUGUGGGUUUUCCAUAAAAAGCUAUGUGCCUCUACACCUGCGCAGAAAGAUGGAGGAAGCUAGAGGUUUUGCAGGCAAGAAACCUCAUGGAUAGGAAAUUAAAAUCUUUGUUAGACAAGAAAUAGUUUCUAUCAGAAAAAGCAGUUACCACGUCCUAGCAAGUCCCAGGUUUUUCUCAUGAUCGGUCCUCAGUGGGGCAAAGGGCCUCCAGAUUUAGUGAAAGAAAUGAGAGAAAGCAGAGAGUCUGCAUGUGUAGUCACCCCCUUGUUUACAGGUGCCUUAACUUCCACCGUCCCCCUCUGAUGCCCAUGCCCUGGUUGUUAAGGUGGUCGAGGCAUUGGAGAUGCUCUGUGGAAGCGUGAAGGAGGAAACGGAGGAAGGACCUUACACAAAAUGUUCCACGUGUGGUCUUUAGCUAAUGUCGUCUCCGUCCGGCAGUGGCCGCAUUCCUCUCUUGGUCACUCCCUCUCCUUAUCCUGAACUUCCACUUGGUGUAGACCGUAAACCCCACACACGUUUUCCUCUCCUUUCCUUCAAACUCUCCAACCAAGUGGUGUCUCCUUCGACAAAGGAAGACCUCUCCCCGGCUUGGCUUACCCUAUCAAGUGUGUUUUCAUUUUGUGUUUAUAAUAUUAAUCUGAAUUCUAUUUGGUUAUUAAUCCUAAUUCAAUUUCAAAGGAGAAAAUAGGCAGCUACCGAAAAGAGUCCAAACCAGUAUAAAAGAGUGGAAAAGUCUGUUGCCUGGAUUAGAAAAAUACUUGGAAAAAAUCAAAGCUUUCCUGGGUGGCAAAUGCUGUGCGAUGCAGGAGCCACUUCUCAGCGAAGGGUCAGAGCUGGAGUUUGUAGGGCUGCAUCUUGGGAGAAAAAUAAACAAGUGGAGAGAAGCUUCAACCUAAGGCCAAGGGGUGCAUGCGUUUGAACUCCCAGGACAGUCCUUGUCAGCCGAGGCUACGCUAACUAACGCAGACCAGGUGGUUUACAAACAGCAGAAAUUUCCCGCUCUUGGCUCUGGAGGCCAGAAUCGGAGGUCAGGGCGCCAGCAUGGUCAGGUUCUGAUGAUGGCCCUCUUCCAGGCUGCAGCCUGCCAGCCUCUCCUGGUGUCCUCAUGGGGAGGAGAGCAGAGAGGACAAGCAAGCUCUUUGGAGCCUCCUGUAAGUGCACGAAUCCCAUUCAGGACAGUGGUGCUGCCAGGACGCAUGGAAUUCUAACCACCUUCCAAAGGCCCCACCGCUGAUACUGUCACAUUGGGGGAGGUUUCGGCUGAUGGACUUUGGAGGGACAGAAAACUUUAGUCCCUAACAAGGAGGACUGGAUGCUAACAGGUCAUUUUGUAACCUCCUCAAAGCAUGUUCUUCAAGCUGGGAGACGGCCAAGCCUGGGGAUGGCCGCCUCUCCUGGGGGUGCCUAAAAGCUGGUGCCCCCCAGGAAAGCCUGUCACUGACUGAGACCACGAUGGUGCAGAAUUGAAGAUGGGCACUGUUUCUGGUGCCAUUCAUGCUCCUGAUCCCCGGGGAGGUCUUCGCUCAGCUUCUUCCUCUGCCUAAUCCUUUCUCUCUCAACUUUCUUACAAGCUCCUUUUGUGAGCACUCCCCCCACAAAAAGUCAACACCCAAGAGUCACCUUCUUAGACUUCUGGGAGACCCAACUUAAGACAUCUAUCAUGGGGGCUGGGGUGGGGAGUGCUCUGCCAGGCAGGCUUGGCUGCAUGGUGAUGGCAAAUAUCCAACCCUCUUUGUGGUUGUGGUUCACUGUCAUCCUGAUGGGUCUUUGUGGUGGAUUCUUGCACAAAUGACUGCAGCCUCCUCCUUCGCAUGAAGAGGUGGGAUCUCUCUGCCUACCCUAGCAUCUGGAUCACGUGGCUUGUUUUGGCUGAGCGGAAAUUACCAAACAGGACACAAAGACUUGAACAGCACACGCAUGGUGGGCUUGCCAGGUCCCUGUUCUCGGAUCCCUGCGCUUUGUGAUUGAGCCCAGGCUAGCCUGCUGGGUGAUGGGAGGCGUGUGCUCUGCUUACCCACAUUUUUCCAAGAAGCAAAGCUGUCUAGCUAACCAGAACUGUACCGUGGAUACAUGAGUGAGCCCAGCUGAGAUCAGCAGAAGAACCACACAACCAGUUUGCUGACCCACAAAAUCAUGAGCUAAAUAAGGGUUGAAACCACUAAAUUUUAUUUGUUUUAUAGCAAAUACUAAUUGAUAGAAUACUUAAAUUAUGAUGGCCCCUAUUUAUUUAUACGUUUUGCCAUUUCAGCAAAAAUAACUGUUUUAGGCUCAAAUUGCAGCCAUACGAAUGCAUACAGCAAAUAUAUGCAUAUAAAAAUAUAGGUACACAAACGUAUAUGUUAUAUAUAUUUGCUAUAUAUAUAAAGCAUAUAUAUAUAUUGCAAAAGAAUGUCUUUUUAAAUUAAUGUAACUUCUUGAAAUUCAGACAGGUAAAUGUUGCAAUUAACACUGACUCUAGGUAGGCAAUUUAUCCACCAGAAUGAAGGAAAAGAGUCACACAUUUUUAUUGAAUGGCUUGUGAGUGUUGGGAGCUCUCAUAUACGCUGUCUCAUGAAUCCUCACAGUCACAUCGUUAAUGUGCUAUUUUUACAAGAGAAAAAACUCACUCUCAGAGAGGGCAUGUGACCUGCCCAAGGUGACUGGGUGAGCAGAUUGAUUAGAUGGGUUUUCCUGACGUCAGAGAUGCUGUAAAGAUGCUGCAGUCAGGUACCUCCCGCAAGCCUGGGGAUUGCCUUUAAGUGGUAUUUGUAAAUGCAAGGCUUCUCGCUGGAAUAUGUAUCUUUUAAAAAAGUUUUUAAAUUUAUUUUUUGUCUUUUUUUUUUUUUUUUUUUUUUUUGCCUUUUCUAGGGCCGCUCCCACAGCAUAUGGAAGUUCCCAAGCCAGGGGUUGAGUUGGAGCUGUAGCUGCUGGCCUACACCAGAGCCACAGCAACUCGGAAUCUGAGCCGUGUCUUUGAUCUACACCACAGCUCAGGGCAACGCCUGAUCUGUAACUCACUGAGCAAGGACAGGGAUCGAACCCGCAAUGUCAUGGUUCCUAGUCGGAUUUGUUAACUGCUGAGCCACGACAGGAGCUCCUGGAGUACGUAUCUUUCAUGACAGCAUAAUUGCAUGAAUCUGUGGACCCUAUUUUCCACCCUUUCAAUGUUGGCCUCCAUGACCUACAGAAAGCUUUAGAGUUGCAAGAAAUUUUCAAGCAAUUAUUUAGUUGAGAACAGAAUUUGCAAAUUUUCAGAGUAGAGAAUAUUCCUCUAAACUUUCAAAUAAACCUUCUGGUUAUCUGUCAUUUAAAAUAUCUCCCCAGGCAUCAAAUACAUUUUAUAUUCAAUAUAAAUGUUUAUCACACACCAGUCUUUGCCCUAGGCUCUGGAGAGGCAAGAAACAGUAAAACAGUAAUCCAUUCUGUCAAGAAGUUCAAAUUUUGGAGCUCCCGCUGUGGCACAAUGGAAGCAGUGGUGUCUCUAGACACUAGAAUGCAGUGCUUUGUCUCUGCAGGUUCAAUCUCCAGUCUGGCACAGUGGGGUAAAGAUUCAGCUUUGCUGCAGCUGUGGCCUAGGUCACAACUGCAGCUUGGAUCUGAUCCCUGGCCUGGGAGCUCCAUAUGCCAUG